RNAcentral lists this ribosomal RNA (448 nucleotides) under uncultured bacterium. RNAcentral describes it as "partial 16S ribosomal RNA". It matches the Rfam family "Bacterial small subunit ribosomal RNA", at positions 329 to 793 of the family's 1533-position model. The record is from RNAcentral.
AGCCAGACUCCUACGGGAGGCAGCAGUGGGGGAUAUUGCACAAUGGGGGGAACCCUGAUGCAGCGACGCCGCGUGGGUGAAGGAGUGCUUCGGCAUGUAAAGCCCUAUCGGCAGGGAAGAAGCAAGACGGUACCUGACUAAGAAGCCCCGGCUAACUACGUGCCAGCAGCCGCGGUAAUACGUAGGGGGCGAGCGUUAUCCGGAUUCACUGGGUGUAAAGGGAGCGUAGACGGCCAUGCAAGCCAGGGGUGAAAACCCGGGGCUCAACCCCGGGACUGCAUUGGAAACUGUCAGGCUAGAGUGUCGGAGAGGCAAGUGGAAUUCCUAGUGUAGCGGUGAAAUGCGUAGAUAUUAGGAGGAACACCAGUGGCGAAGGCGGCUUGCUGGACGAUGACUGACGUUGAGGCUCGAAAGCGUGGGGAGCAAACAGGAUUAGAUACCCCCGUAC